Long non-coding RNA from Cucumis sativus (cucumber), 875 nucleotides. RefSeq lists it as uncharacterized. The record is from RefSeq and is a predicted model, not a curated record. The transcript has 4 exons. NCBI's taxonomy places the organism in Eukaryota, Viridiplantae, Streptophyta, Magnoliopsida, Cucurbitales, Cucurbitaceae.
CUUUUUCACGAAAGACAAACAGUUUGAGAACCUUUCUCUCUCAUUAACCUUGUUAAGGAUACUUUCCCAUUUUUAGAAAUGAAAAGGGCAAGGCCUUGGCCGGAAAACGUAUUCCUCUGCCUUCUAUGACUACUGUUUCAGAUUCAGUCAGAGAGGAUACUGGCCCAUGUUGAUUCAUUGGAGACGAAGACAGAAGGAUCAGUGGGUCAUCAGAGGGUCCAUUAUACACGUGAUAUUUAACUGCCUGCAUGCUUUUUAGGGAGAAGAGAUAUGAUGGGGAUUGUGUCGGCCCCGUUUUGGGGCCACUCUUUACAGGUCAAGGAGCAAGAAGAGCGAACAUGGGGCUGACAGCUUCGUGGUGGCACUCAACGCCUACUGUUCAUCUAUCGAUUUCCACAGGGCAUAGCUAGGCUAGCACUCAAGAUUGCGAUUUUUGGAGUUACCCCACCGCACCCAGGAAUGUGAAUCCGUUUUCAACAAAACUAGGUCAAAAAGUCACUUCCUCUGUGCCUCCAUCUAAAUGGUGUAUUCAAACCACAAAAGCUUGCUUGUUGAGGUAAUGCCAUGUGCUGCCUUUACAAUGAAUUGGGUUGGUGUGUAUCCAAUUGCAAGUUAGAUUGUGAGUUUGAGAUAGACUUGAAUGUUACUUGCUCAUAUUGGAGUCUACGGAAUCUUGUGUUUGAAAAUGUUUGGUGUCACUUGGAUUAUUCAUGGAACAGUAUAAGUGAGUUGAAGAUUCGUUUGAUAUCAUUCUAAUUUUUUGUUUCAUGUUUACAAGAAACAAAAACGUUAUUGAAAGGUUUGUAGAAUCCUAUCUUCAAAAAUUUAUAUUAUUUGGAUUACGUAUAAGACAUAAGUGAACUUGAUUUUCCUAA